AGUUGUAAAGCACCAGCAGCAGCUAGUCAAAGGGAUGCUGAGUUUUAUGAAAUGGUGAAGAAACUGAAGGAGGAAGUGGAGGAAAUGCAGAAAAGUAUACACAACCCCACUGCGCCUGCUCAUCAGCCUAGAUGGAAUGGAAAGAGAGGAUGACGAGUCUGUCAGGAAAAUGAUACAGGAUGAAGCACAUCCCACCUCAUCACCCAAACAGAUGUAAAGAACUUGGGAACCUCCCAUCCACCAGGAAAAUCACCCUAUCCCAGGAGUUAGUCAGGAGUUUAUUCAGCAGUGUGCAGCAUCACUAUGUUAGAAGUAGAUCCAAACAUUAUUCUCUGUCAUGCAGAAUUGUCAUCUUAUUGUAGCUUAUUAUAAAAUAGACGUGGGUG
RNAcentral lists this long non-coding RNA (386 nucleotides) under Salmo salar (Atlantic salmon). RNAcentral describes it as "lncRNA (ENSSSAG00000106938.1, ENSSSAG00020078308.1)". Lineage: Eukaryota; Metazoa; Chordata; Actinopteri; Salmoniformes; Salmonidae. The record is from RNAcentral.